Long non-coding RNA from Pan troglodytes (chimpanzee), 11049 nucleotides. RefSeq lists it as uncharacterized. The record is from RefSeq and is a predicted model, not a curated record. The transcript has 2 exons. Lineage: Eukaryota; Metazoa; Chordata; Mammalia; Primates; Hominidae.
AAAUGCUCAUUGAGCAUAGGUUUUGUGGCAGUCCCAGUUGGGACAAAGCAUGGGUGGAAUUCCUUCCCUUAUGGAGCUUACAGAUCAGUGAACACACUCAGAGGGUGGCAGUGGGAGCCAGAUUGCAGAGGAUCUAGUGAAACAAAAAAAACUAUGGAGAGAGUGUGAAUCAGGCAUUUGAUACUUCUCUCCUCUGAGUUGGGUUCUAGAGAGACAGACACAAUACUCCAUGGUCCUUCUGUGCUUUAAAUACAGCCUUAUGAUCUGAGGCUUCCCUUUCUGUCCCUAUUAAAAAUGUCCUGUAGGUAGAAGACUUGAUAGACUCAGUAGGAUGUUAAUGACUGAUGAAGCUUAAUAUACUAGUUUCCUAGGGGUAUAUGAAUUGUGGGAAACACAGGCAGUCACAGCUUAAAUGAAUAAGUCUCUUUCGAUUUUUAGAUACCAUUGAACAGAUGGAGAUGGAAAUUUAUGAGGGUCAGAGUUGCCUUUUUGUUGACCGUGAAAUUACAUCACAAAAGCAGCUGCUAAGAUUCCCUGCUGUCCACAGAGCCUGUAUUUAAGAAAGACCAUUCAAGAUAAGACUGAGCUGUGGAAUUAUAAAACCUUUGGAAAAUCUUUCAUGUGAGAACAACAUGGGGGCAAGCCUCUGACCAAAAUAGCUCAAAAAUUUGUGUUACGCAGUUACAGUAAAUACCCAAGAGCUUGACGCAUAAAACACAACAGCCUCCUGGAGACAGAGGGAGGAGAAAGAAAGAUAAAGUCUGUGGCUUUAGAAGAAAAGGAAUAACUUAAGAGGCUUGUUUGCUGUUCAGGCUGGCCACCAAGGAUGACAUUUUGGUAGGUUUGGCAUGUUCCUGAGACUGUUCUUAACUUUGUUGGUCCCCUAAAAUGUACGUAAUUGAUGCAACAUGUCUGAGGAAGUGGAUGAGGUGUGAGAAAUCAUGGUAUUCCUAUUCACAAGGGACUACUUUACAACCAGACACAAUUAUUUUACAGAGAACUCUGGUUUGCAAGAGGACCUGAAUAUUAAUAUUAGUUGGUCAAUGCAUUCUCUCCCUGGAUGAGAAUCUUUUGUGGGAAGCAGCAUAAUAUAAAAUGCCAUUCAAGAUUCUGCAUGUAGCAUCAAAGAGUCAGCGAAUUCUGGCUCUGCCAACUACUUGGCUGUGGGACCUGGGAUAUAUUACUUACUUUCCAUAAGCCUCAGCCUUUUCGUAUAUACAAUGGAUUUAGAAAGACUAGGGUGAAAGAAGAAAGUGAAUUUAGGUAUGUAAAAUAUUUACCAUGUGAUGGGCAGCUAGCUAGAUAUUUUACAAAUCUAUAAUCUGGAAACAUGAAAGACAGACUAGCUGGAUUUCCUAGGCCAACUAAGAUUUCCUAAGCCUAGCUGGGAAGGUGACCGCAUCCACCUUUAAACAUGGGGCUUGCAACUUAGCUCAAACCUGACCAGUCAGAUAGUAAAGAGAGCUCACUAAAAUGCUAAUUAGGCUAAAACAGGAGGUAAAGAAAUAGCCAAUCAUCAAUCACCUGAGAGCACAGGGGGAGGGACAAUGAUCACGAUAUAAACCCAGGCAUCCGAGCCGGCAAUGGCUACCCUCUUUGGGUCCCCUCCCUUUGUAGGGGAGCUCUGUUUUCACUCUAUUAAAUCUUGCAACUGCAUUCUCUUCUGGUCCGUGUUUGUUAUGGCUCGAACUGAGCUUUUGCUCGCUGCCCACCACUGCUGUUUGCUGCUGUCGCAGACCCACCACUGACGUCUAUCCCUCUGGAUCCGGCAGGGUAUCCACUGUCCUAAUCCAGUGAGGGGCCCAUUGCUGCUCCCGAUCAGGCUAAAGGCUCGCCAUUGUUCCUGCACGGCUAAGUGCCUGGGUUCGUCCUAAUGGAACUGAACACUAGUCACCAGGUUCCACGGUUCUCUUCUGUGACCCAUGGCUUCUAAUAGAACUAUAACACUCACCGCAUGGCCCAAGAUUCCAUUCCUUGGAAUCCGUGAGGCCAAGAACCCCAGGUCAGAGAACAUGAGACUUGCCGCCAUCUUGGAAGCGGCCCACCACCAUCUUGGGAGCUCUGGGAGCAAGGACCCCCUGGUAACAAACAGACACAAGAGAAUUAGGUGGAGAAUCUUCCAACCAAGUGCUCUUAACCAACAGAAUCAUACCUUCCAAGGGAGGCUGAUUGUCUUGUCUGUUGAUCGGGUCUCCAUUUCUAAGAUGUGAAAGACACACUGACCUGUUUCUGCUUAUUGACUUCCUUCUUUCUAGACCUGUGAUGACCAGAACACAUUCUUUUUUUUUUUUUUUGAGGCAGAGUCUUGCUUUGUCACCCAGGCUGUAGUGCAGUGGUGCAAUCUCGGCUCACUGCAACCUCUGCCUCCCUGGUUCAAGCGAUUCUCCUGCCUCAGCCUCCCGAGUAGCUGGGACUACAGGCACAUGCCACCAUGCCUGGCUAACUUUUGUAUUUUUAGUAGAGACGAGGUUUCACCAUGUGGGCCAGGAUGGCCUCGAUCUCCUGACCUCGUGAUCCACCCACCUUGGCCUCCCAAAGUGCUGGGAUUACAGGCGUGAGCCACUGCACCCGACCCAGAACACAUUCUUAAAUAGGAUAGAUUAGACUGCCUACUUGUUACAUGCCAGUUCUAAGCAUGCAACAGAGCCACAUUGAUUGGCCUUGAGUGGCUCCAAACUACUGACAAAUGAAUUCACAGACCAUCUUAAGCACAAUUCUUCAUGUAGUUGAUUAAGUGUGCCAUCGUGUGCUCAUUCUUGCUAUUUUCACAUUCAAUGGGUGGUCUUAUUAUACUUUAUUGUGCUUUAUGUAUUGACUAUGGAGCUUAGUAUAUGUUUCUGAAAAAUUUAAUUUUUGCUUAAAAGGCUGCAAUAAGGUUCAGUUGCAGAUAGCAGAGAUAGUUCCAGCUAGUUUGAGCAGAAAGGGACUUAAUAUAGGGAGUUAGUUGGCUACAACAUUGUUCAAAGUGCUGGAAAAGCAACCCUUAGGCUGGGCCUCUAGAAAUGACUGUAGAAUAAGAGUUACCCUGCAGAACUUGCCCACCAAGAGAGCUGUCAUCUUUGUCACAAUUGAAAAGUCAGGGAGUCAGGAAGCUGCUAUUCAAACUGCUGGCCUCAGGUUCAUACUACCUUGACUAUGACCCAGGAAGUCAUUGUCAAAUUUGUUGGCUCCAACCCAUGUGUCUGCUAUAGUCUACACCUGUAUCAGAUGCUUUUUGUACUACUUCUGUUUGCAUUUAACCAUUUCCAAAACAAAUCAUUGUGAUUGUAUCUAACUGGCCUAAUCCAAGUCACAAUCAUAACCAUGUACGUAAGGGAGUCUGGGAAAUCUUAUUUUUAGUUUUUCAACCUUGUAGGAUACUAUAAGAAGAUUGGGAUAGAUACUGAGUGAGCCUCAGAAAAUCAGCUGGAUAUACCCCAGGCAAGUACUUGUGCUAAGUGAUAAUUCAGAUACUACAGAGAAUUCAAAGAUAAAGUAAGCCAGAUUUUGUCAAGAGCACCUGUCUAUAAUCUAAUAAAGGAGAAGAGACAAAUCCAGUGUUUUCAUAUGGCAUUGCUUCCUAAUGAGUCUGAUGAGCCAAAUGUCCUUCCUAGGUAGUCAUAAAACAUAUUUAUCCUAUCAUAGCUUUUAAAACACAGUAUUGUAAUUGUUGGUUAUUUUACCUGUGCACUCAGUGGACUGCUAGCUGUUGAAGGCAGGGACCAUGUGAAUCUUGCUAGCUGUUAAACAGCCAGUGUUUAAUCCAGUGCCAAGCAAUAUUUGUUGAAUGACUGGAUACAUGAAAACAAGUGGGAGUCAAAAUUACAACCUCUAAGGAUGUAGGUGUUCAUUUAUUAUAGAACAGAAUAUUUUCUUCUUGCCAGUCUUAUCUCUAAACUAAAUUAGAAGACUCUAAGCAAUAAAUUGAACACUAUGUUAAGAGAAUGUGUUUCCUCAUGACAGCCCGCCAGUCCUGCACUCUCCCUAAAUGACAACUACAUAUUAGUGGCUGGAAAAAGUGGCUACGUUUUCUUUUACUAUGAAAGAGGAAAGAGGACAUUUCCUUUUGCUAGCAAAGAGGAAACUAUUGUGUCACAUAAAUGAAGCAUAUUGCUAGUUGCUAUAAAAAUUAGAUUUAUAGUCAAGGUUGCCCAUUCUGAGUUACUUCUUGGGAUAGGCAAUACAAAAUGUUACAGGAUCUGAGAUGUUUAUAAAUAAUAUUUGAAAACCCACUCGCUACUGCUGCUGCUAUUAAAAUUAGUAUUUAGAGUAUAUAAUAAGCAUGAAUUAGAAGGCUUAAUACUGUAUGGUCUCAAAACUAAAUGGCUUAUGAGGUCAGGUGCCAUUUUACCCCAUUUUAUAGCUGAUGCUCUGAGUCUUGUAGAGUUUUACUGGUCCAAUAUUAUGGGAUUAGUGUUAUAACAAGUGGAUUCUCAAAGUUAGGCCCAUCCGAUCCCAAAGUUUAUGUUUUUAACUGCUAUUGUAUGUGAGUUUCACCAGUAGUUUUCCUUAUUCUGUAAGAAAACUCUUCUUAUCAUAAAUAUGAACAGUGUAUAGUGAUGUCCAGUAUAUAUGAUGCUUUCUACAUGGCAACUCUUUGUGAUGCUCACAGUAACCAUGCAAAGCUUUCUAUCUCUAUGUUAAAAAUUCUAAAAUAGAAACUUAGAAUGCAUAGAGCCAAACCUUCAGUGGAGGCAUUCUGACGCUAAAUGCUGAUCUUGUGUCUUUUCUUCAAGCUCCCUCCCACCACAUGAACUAAAGAUCUGCAAGCUGUAACCUUUUCCGAAGGGCUACCUGGGCCUCUGUGUCCAUCAGAGCUGAUGAGCUGAUCUUCAUUCACCAUAAGUGCAACUAUCAUGGCUCAUGGAGCCUUGGAGAGAGUAGCACAUAUAUUGAACUUCAGUUUUAAAAAGUCUAAUACUUUUCUAAAAUGACUUGCUAUCUAUUUCAUCCAGAGAAGAUUUAUUACGUAGCCUUUCUAGCAUAAAAUAUCAUUACUUUUAAAGAAAAAUCCAAUCUAAAUUCCUCUAACUACAAUGGAAGUCCCCUUUUCUUAUUCAUUUCUCACUCAAAUAUGGGACAACCAGUCACUUCCAUUAAAUCUAAUCUUCCUGUAUGCUCUUGAAGAUAACUACCAGUUAAACAGAGCUAUCUAUGGGAAUGGUUUUUGAAAGAAAAAUUGCGUUGUUUCAGUACUUUGGAGGAUGGCUGAUGUUUGCCUUUUCAAGAGAUGUAUCAUGGACUGUUUUUGUUAAACUAACUUAGCUUCAAGAAUUUGAGACUAACUCAGAUUUUCUCAAACAGUGGGGGAUUUGAUGCAGCAAUAUGCAGGCAUGGGAUAUCAGAAAGAGCCAGAUAACCAAAGGAAGAGUAGUAGCUGAAGCGGGAUUCUAAGACCAAGGUGGGUUAAGUUAGCUCGGAAGCUUGGGAUAUAAGGCUUUUCAUUCUAGGGUUCUAACUUAAUAUUGCUCUACAUGUGGCUUGACUUUCUCAUAAUUUUAGAUUGUAUUUUGUGAUUUGCCUUAUUUUCUUUGUAUUUAUUGACUUUAAUCCUCAGGAGAGACAAUAUGAAUUUAUUUAAGACAGAUUAGAUCCUAGCUCUGGGUCAGAUACUCAGCCUUUAUCCAAUAAGAUUCCCUUCCUCCAGUGACCUGGACCUGCUGGGUAAUGGCAUCACAUGUGCAGAUUGUAGCUGUUUCUUUAGCAGAGGCUAUGGGCAGAGUCACUUCCACUAGAAGGGGCUGCAGGCAUUUCAGGCGAUGUGCUAAAACAAAGGCAGUUUCUGCAAAAGAGCACAUUCUAUUUAUUCUACCUUCUGGAUGUGGCAUGAAUCCAUCUAUCUCUCUCUAUCCCCACUGUAGCUGUUCCAGUUCAGGUCACCAUACCUUAUGUCUUAACUAUAGUAAUAGCUUUCAUAAAUAUAUAUAUAUAUAUCCCUGCCUUCUGUGGUGUCCAAUUCAAAGCAUUUUCAAUUCUACAGUCAGAGAGAAAACAUAAAUUAAUCUGAUUUCUUCUCUUCUAAAAAGUUCCAGUGAUUUAGGAGAAACCACAUUCUCUAACAUAAUUUAUGAGACCCAUGCUGGCUUCUAACUAAAUCUCCAUCCUCAUCUCUAAGCCCCACUUUUACUCUAUGGUUUAGUCCAUUACCUGUAGACCUUCUACUCUGUUACCUUGGCUUAUGAAACACUUCCCUACUUUUUAUGGCUAACAUUCAUUCAUGUUUAGGUCCCAGCUGAUGCUUUCCCAACCUUCCAGUCUAGAUUAGAAGUCCCUCUUAGAUAUACUUCCAGCAUCCUGAAAUUGUCAUAGAGUUGAAUUUCAGUGACCUAUUUCAUGUAUUCUGGUGAAAACUCUAAGUGUGUGAGUGCAGGGGCUGUUAUCAGUCAUUACUGGCUCUCCAGUGCCUGGUAUAUGGUGAGUACUCUAUCAAUAUAUGUUAAAUCAACAAGAGAAAGAGAGAAAUCAUUUUUCAUAUUAUAGUGCUUAAAAUCCAUAUAGUUACAACACCAGGAGUGAACCCCAAUGUAAACUAUGGACUUUGGGUGGUAACGUGUCAAUGUAGGUUCAUGAAUUGCAAAAAAUGUGCCACUCUGGUGAGGGAUGUUGAUAAUGGAGGCUAUGCAUGUGUCGGGGUAGGGGGUGUAUGGGAAAUCUCUGAACUUACCUCUCUUCUGUGAACCUUCUCUAAAAGAUAAAAUCUAUUUCUAAAAAUUCCUGUUGUGUGUUGUCUCAUUUCACAUUACACCACCCUUCUCCCUCGUUGGUUUCUGCUCUGGCUUCCCUGGUCUUUUCUCAGUUCUUUGUGACUCUUCCCCUCUCCUUCCACUGUCCUUGUGUAUGCCAUUUCAUCUGCCUGGAACACUCUUCUUGUGCCUGGUUUGCUGCCAGUUAGCUUUCAGAUUUUAGCUCAGUUACCUCUUUUUCAGGAAGCCUCUUCUGAUUCUAUGCCCCAGACUAGAUAAAAUCCUCCCAUUAUAUGUGACCAGCAUCAUAUACUUCUUCAUGACACUAAUGACAGUUCUAACUUCGCAUUUAUUUUUGCAAGUAUGUCUGUUUAUGGUUAUUACAGUCCUAAUCUUAGGAAAACACCUGAUAAGAGAGGAAAAAUAAUUAUUUGAUGAAUAAAUAAUUCAUCAAAUUUUAGUGUAAUAUUGUCAGAUAAAACAUACCAUAAGAACAUGGUGAAUAAGGUGGUGAGAACAUCAAAGGUCUUCAGAAAUCGGUUACCCGGUGUAGUAAAAAGGACUAGUAACAAAGUAUGACAUCAAGGGAUUGAAUCUCUGUUACACAGUAAGCUAGCCAUGUGAAGUACAUAUUACUUCAUUUAUCUGAAUUUCAACUUCUACAAUGGUAAAAUGGGGAUAAUUUUUUUCCCUUUCUGAAAAAUUAAAGGAGAUAAAACAGGUAAAUAUCUCUGUAAGCUGCCAUAUAAGGACAGAUAUAGUGGCAAAGUUCAAUUUUCUUCAAGGUAAAUUAUAAGCAAACAUAGAUGUAGAGCAUAAUUUUCUUCACAGCCAAAGUUUGCCCUAUAAAAAGACAGUAAAAACUGAAAAAAUGUUUGAAAUUUUUUUUUUCAUUUUGUUUCUAACAGAAAUCAUUUUCAUGCUGCAUUACAGUUGCCAGAUUAGUCAUUAAAUAAACAGUAUACAAUUCAUUGAACUCUCUGUUAGCCCAUUUGAAAGAUGAUGAAGUUAGAAUGCUUAAUAUAUGGUCCUUUGUGUUUGGAGCAGAUAAAAGCGUUCUGGAAAAUUCCCAAGAGGUUAGAUAUUAAUGGAAAGAUCUGCCUCCCUUGGCCCUAAGAAAAACAUGAUAGUUUCUAUAGAACUAGAAAUGAAGGAUUUGAAAGUAACUUAAAAUUAAUCCACCUUUAACUUGAAGAGCACAAAGCACAUUACGAUAAAACAGGUGUUUUACAUUAUUCAUUUAAUUUUCACCAGUCCUUUGAGGGGACUACUAUUAUUCCAAUAUUACAAGGAAAAGUAGUUGAGAGAGGAAAUACAUUUACCUGAGGCCACUUACUCUUUGGUGUCUAGGGUUCAGCCCACCUAAGGCAACUGGCAUGUUAGGAGUAUCUCUGUGUGCCUUCUCUGUGCUGGCUAAUGUGAGAGUUAGAAAAGGAACACAGCUUUUGAAAUAUUAGAAUCCUUUUUAAAUCAAAUCUGACAAUUUUCAUGUUGCAGAAGGAGAAAAUGAAAUUUGAGAAAUUGUGUCUCUUGAUUAAAGUUACACAAAGAAGGGCAGAAUAUGUACCUGUCUCAUCUAGAACAGCACACAGCAGGGACUCUAUAAGUCUUAACUGAUUGAUCCAGUUUUAUGUUCCUCUUAUUAAAAAGAAAAGGAGAGAUCUUUAGGAGAAGGAUCUGAUGCUACUCUUAAGGGAAGAAUUCAGGGUCCCUGGCUUCUAGGUUCUCUGGGAGUAUGGGACUUCCUCUAUCAGAUUCCCACAUAUCCAAUCUGAUGUCAGACUUUUGACACUAACUGCAAAACCUAGGCUUUGUGAGUGUUCCUUGGAAAAUACUGUGCAGUUCUGGGGCUCAGUGAUGAUUUUCACAUUAAUUCACUAUUGGACUUUCAAUCUUCUGAGACAAUGGCGAGUAAUUGUAAGGCAGGCAAGUAGCACUUUGAAGGUGUCAUGAAAUGUACCUUUAUCAGUGUUCACAAGACUAGUUAAUGACAGAGUAAAAUUAUGUCCCAGUGUUAUAUAAACAUGUGAAUCCAUUUCAGCACUCCCUUUUUCCAUUCAAGGAAAUAUUGAAUUAUUUUUCUUCAGGGAAGAGAAGUGAGUUUCAGAUUUGGUUCUCUUUCUGCAACUGCUUUGUGUCCUUGAGUAAGACAUGCAUGGAAGGGGUUAGGUGGUGAAGCAGGUAGACUGAAGCGGAAGUGCUCAGGCUCUGAAGUCAGAUCUCAGUUCAAAUCUCCUGAGCAGUUUAUUUAUCUACAGAAGACCCUAGUUCCUGCAUUUCUAAAAUAGAAAUAAUUGUGAUACUCCUGUCAUUGGUACAGAGGGUUGGAUGAUCUAAUUCUAGUAAAGUCUCUUAGCACUUGGGAGGAACUGUGUAUUGAGUUUCCACUAAGGAAAGGCCAAUAUUCCUGCAGAGGAAGACAUACCAGCUGCCUGAGGCUUCAGUUCUCCAAUGGCUUUCUUACUCUAAACCGGAGAGGAAUGGGCUGGGUCAACAAUAUUUUCGCAAUUGCCCAGAAAGCAUAAGUAAUGAAUAGUUCUUCCUGUAGUGGCAGGAACAUCCAUGCUCACCUUUGCACUUCUGGGGAGCUUGGGGAUCCCCAUCCUUGAGUACCUCAAAUCACACUGAGGCUUCCCAUGGCCCACCUUUCCUGUCUGUCUAGUUGCAAGGGGCAGGAUGAGAAUAAUUUAUCUUUGUCUCCUCUCUCUUCUGCAUCAUUAAUUUUUCCCUCUCUGUUACACCAUUCCUAUCAGCAUACAAAUAUGCUGCCAUUUUCCCCACAUUAAUAUAAUGUUUCUUGAUCUCAUUUUUCAAGUAAUACUGUAUUUCUUUACUGCCUUUCAGAGCAAAACUUUUAAAAAGACUUGACUUUAUUACUUCCAAUUCUUCCUUCUAGUCUUCACCCUUAACACCUCUAUGAGAAAGCUCUUGAUUGAGGACCUCUGCAUGGCUAAAUCCAAUAGAAAAUUCUCAGUCUUUUUCUUAUUUGAGCACUCAGAAACAUUUGGUUAAGCUGAUCACUGCCUCCUCCUUGAAAUGAUUGAUUUAUUUGGCUUCUAGGACAUUGUUAUAUUCUCCCUCCCUUCAUGUUCUCCAGGGCAAUAUUUUUAGAACUCUUUUCUUUGUUAUCUCAUCCAGUAUUAUGUUUUCAGUUGCUUCUAUACAUUGAUAACACUUAACCUGUAGAUUCAUAUAUAUGUGAAUCUGACUGUCCAACAGCUCCACUUGGAUUGCAGGUAGAAAUCUUGUCUCAAACCUCACAUGCCCCCAAACUAAAUCCUGAACUUCUUUCCCCAAAUCUGGUCCCUAUAAUUUUUCCCAACAUCUUGGUAAUAAUGAUAGCAAACAUUUACAUGGGGCUAUGUGGCAAGUACUAUUUUAAUAAUUUUUUUAUAUUCACUCACAUAAUCCUCAACACCAUGUGAGGUUGGCAUUAUUAUUACUUCUAUUUUGCAAUGCAGAAUGGAGGAAAAUACUUGCCUAGUGUCACAGUGGCAGAGUUGGACUGCAAAGCCAGACUGCCUGGUUCUGGUCUUUCUACUAGCAUACUUCCAAUUCCUGAAGCCAAGCAUUUUGAAAUAAUCUAUGACUUCUCUCUCUUACACCCACAUCCAAUCCAAUAGCAAAUCUUGUUGGCAAUACUUUCUUGAUAUAUUCAGAAUCUGACCACUUACCACCCACAUUGUCACCAUCCUGGUCCAAGCCAUCCUCUGUUUCUUCUGCCCACCUUAUGCCCAUUGCGAUCUGUCUUAGCAAAGCAGCCAAAGGGAGGCAGGUCAUGUUACACCUGCUGCUCAUGGCUUCCCAUCUCUCAGAGUUAAACACAGCAUUCAUACAGUGACCUCCAAGGACUUAAAUCCUCAGCUGUCUCUCCUAUUACCGCCAUAAUCUCACCUUCUACUGAUCUCCUUGCUCAUUCCACUCCACUCACGCUGGGCUCCUAGUGGUUCCCGGAAGAUGUACAUGCUUGCUCUUGUCUCAGGCCAUAUGCACUUGCCUUUCCCUGGCAUGUUUUUCUCCCAGAUUUCCACAUGCCUCGCCUCCUACUUCCUUCAGCUCUUUGGUUAAAUGUCAUCUUUUUAGUGAAGUUUUCUAUUUAAAAUUGUCAUAUCUUACCCUACUGAAGUUAUUCCUUCUUCCUUGUUUUAAAUUUAUCAUCCUCUGACUUGCUUUUGUUUAUAUUUUUUAUUCCCAGUAGAAUAUUAAUUUCAGGGCAGAAGAGAUUUUUGCUGUUUCGGUCGUGGCAUUAUCUCCAGUAUUUAUGUGCCUGGAACAUAUUAGUUGCCCAUGCUUUGACGAGUGGGAUGGCCCUUUGAAGCAGAGAGACACCUUUCUCCCUGGGUGCUACCUGAGCACUUCUUAUAAAACCAUUUGUUUUAUUAUGACA